AGAAGGAUUACAUUGAGAAGAGUGUUUUUGGUUGGUUGUUAUACUUGCCAAGUUGUAUAAAGAUAGGAUCAAAGUAUCUCAUUGUCUGCUUCGGUGCACAACAAAGUCCUUCUGCAUGCAGAGGUUGGUGCAUUGAGUCCUUUUGGAAGGAUUUACUAUUUGAAUAUAACCGUCCGGAACGUUGUCAAGGUCUUCAAAGCUGACAUUGGUCCUCCAACUGAGGAACUACUUAACGCUUCAUCAAGACCUGUGAAUCGACCCUACCCAUGUGCCCAAAACAACAACAAAAACAAAGAUGUUGGUCCAUAUGAAAAGGCUUGUCCUUCUGCCUCUAAUAAUAAAACAACAACUCCCAUGGAAGAUUGAUGAGCGUUUAGAAAUUGACGUUAUGUUUGUAUUUCAAUCAUUAGUUAACAUAAAUAUUAGUUAUGUUUUGUAACCUAUUGUAUGCAGUU
This 455-nucleotide small RNA is filed under the name Vigna angularis var. angularis. RNAcentral's name for it is "Non-protein coding transcript". Lineage: Eukaryota; Viridiplantae; Streptophyta; Magnoliopsida; Fabales; Fabaceae. The record is from RNAcentral.